CCUACGGGAGGCAGCAGUGGGGGAUAUUGCACAAUGGGGGGAACCCUGAUGCAGCGACGCCGCGUGGGUGAAGAAGCGCCUCGGCGCGUAAAGCCCUGUCAGCAGGGAAGAAAAUGACGGUACCUGAAGAAGAAGCCCCGGCUAACUACGUGCCAGCAGCCGCGGUAAUACGUAGGGGGCAAGCGUUAUCCGGAUUUACUGGGUGUAAAGGGGGCGCAGACGGCGAUGCAAGCCAGGAGUGAAAGCCCGGGGCUCAACCCCGGGACUGCUGUUGGAACUGCGUGGCUGGAGUGCAGGAGGGGCAGGCGGAAUUCCUGGUGUAGCGGUGAAAUGCGUAGAUAUCAGGAGGAACACCGGUGGCGAAGGCGAGCUGCUGGACUGCAACUGACGUUGAGGCCCGAAAGCGUGGGGAGCAAACAGGAUUAGAUACCCCAGUAGUC
Molecule: ribosomal RNA, 440 nt
Filed under: uncultured bacterium
Lineage: Bacteria
Description: partial 16S ribosomal RNA
Rfam family: Bacterial small subunit ribosomal RNA
Source: RNAcentral